UCCCAGACUCCUACGGGAGGCAGCAGUGGGGAAUAUUGCACAAUGGGGGAAACCCUGAUGCAGCGACGCCGCGUGAGUGAAGAAGUAUUUCGGUAUGUAAAGCUCUAUCAGCAGGGAAGAAAUAGCGACCUUUGGGUCGCCAGACGGUACCUGAUUAAGAAGCCCCGGCUAACUACGUGCCAGCAGCCGCGGUAAUACGGAGGAUGCGAGCGUUAUCCGGAUUUAUUGGGUUUAAAGGGUGCGCAGGCGGAGGUGCAAGUCAGUGGUCAAAUUGCGGGGCUCAACCCCGUACUGCCGUUGAAACUGCAUCCCUUGAGUGCGCGAGAAGUAUGCGGAAUGCGUGGUGUAGCGGUGAAAUGCAUAGAUAUCACGCAGAACUCCGAUUGCGAAGGCAGCAUACCGGCGCGCAACUGACGCUCAUGCACGAAAGCGUGGUUAUCGAACAGGAUUAGAUACCCCCGUAA
This 464-nucleotide ribosomal RNA is filed under the name uncultured bacterium. RNAcentral's name for it is "bacterial SSU rRNA". It matches the Rfam family "Bacterial small subunit ribosomal RNA", at positions 329 to 793 of the family's 1533-position model. The record is from RNAcentral.